This is a small nuclear RNA of Equus asinus (donkey), 102 nucleotides long. Its record names the gene U2. It matches the Rfam family "U2 spliceosomal RNA". Rfam says of the family: U2 is a small nuclear RNA (snRNA) component of the spliceosome (involved in pre-mRNA splicing). Complementary binding between U2 snRNA (in an area lying towards the 5' end but 3' to hairpin I) and the branchpoint sequence (BPS) of the intron results the bulging out of an unpaired adenosine, on the BPS, which initiates a nucleophilic attack at the intronic 5' splice site, thus starting the first of two transesterification reactions that mediate splicing. Lineage: Eukaryota; Metazoa; Chordata; Mammalia; Perissodactyla; Equidae. The record is from Ensembl.
AUCACUUUUCAGUCUUUUGGCUAAGAUCAGUGUAGUACCUGUUCUUAUCAAUUUAAAAAAGUUUUCCAAUGAAAAGAAGAGGUAAAAUUUUCCUCACUUGAU